RNAcentral lists this small RNA (580 nucleotides) under Sarocladium kiliense. RNAcentral describes it as "eukaryotic LSU rRNA". It matches the Rfam family "Eukaryotic large subunit ribosomal RNA", at positions 20 to 610 of the family's 3401-position model. The record is from RNAcentral. Lineage: Eukaryota; Fungi; Ascomycota; Sordariomycetes; Hypocreales; Sarocladiaceae.
AAUACCCGCUGAACUUAAGCAUAUCAAUAAGCGGAGGAAAAGAAACCAACAGGGAUUGCCUCAGUAACGGCGAGUGAAGCGGCAACAGCUCAAAUUUGAAAUCUGGCCGCAAGGUCCGAGUUGUAAUUUGUAGAGGAUGCUUUUGGCGAGGUGCCUUCCGAGUUCCCUGGAACGGGACGCCAUAGAGGGUGAGAGCCCCGUACGGUAGGACCACCAAGCCUCUGUAAAGCUCCUUCGACGAGUCGAGUAGUUUGGGAAUGCUGCUCUAAAUGGGAGGUGUACGUCUUCUAAAGCUAAAUACCGGCCAGAGACCGAUAGCGCACAAGUAGAGUGAUCGAAAGAUGAAAAGCACUUUGAAAAGAGGGUUAAAAAGUACGUGAAAUUGUUGAAAGGGAAGCAUUCAUGACCAGACUUGGGCUUGGUUGAACAUCCGGCGUUCUCGCCGGUGCACUCUGCCAGUCCAGGCCAGCAUCAGUUUGCCCCGGGGGAUAAAGGCGGCGGGAAUGUGGCUCCCUUCGGGGAGUGUUAUAGCCCGUCGUGUAAUGCCCUGGGGCGGACUGAGGAACGCGCUCGGCACGGA